UGUGAGGAGAUAUUUCUUAUGGUCUCAGGUGGGCUUCAGACACUGAACUAACAGGUAGGAUACCUGACUUCAUUGGGAAUUGGUCAAAGCUUACUACCCUGAAGCUUGAAGGAAACUCUUUAGAAGGUCCAAUACCCUUAGCGUUUUCCAAUUUGACUUCUUUGACAGAGUUGAGAAUAAGUGAUUUGUCUAAUGGGAGCUCUUCACUGGCUUUUAUAAAGAAUAUGAAAUCUCUAAGUACCUUGGAUUUGAGCUUCAACAAUAUAACAGGACAGAUUCCAAGAG
Molecule: long non-coding RNA, 285 nt
Organism: Quercus robur (English oak)
Lineage: Eukaryota; Viridiplantae; Streptophyta; Magnoliopsida; Fagales; Fagaceae
Exons: 4
Source: RefSeq, a predicted model, not a curated record